CAACUGCAUUUCCUGUUGUCGCCUAAGCAUUACUACAGGAUUAGCCACAUUCGUCUACAAAGAGAUUUUCAUACAAACGAAGUAAUAUGUAAAUAGACAAAAAUGAAACACAUACUGGCAGAAAGCACUGUUACUCUCCAGACAACCAUUGUUUACAUAUUAGAAUUUUGAAACCUAGCACUCCCACUCCCAAAGGACUUACUAAAAUGAGCAUUUGUAUGUCCCAUAUUAAAAGUACUUCUAAACUAUUUCAAAGGAUGUUUUUGGCAAUCAGAAUGAAAUUAUUUCACGUUUAGCUCAAAUCAAGAGAAAUUCUCACCAAUUGAUACUUUUAAGGAAAGUAUCAAAUCAUGACUGGUUAAAACAAACCAAAAAGAAAAGUGAAACAAGGCAUAAAAUCUCUGAAAAAAAAUCUGACAAAUAAAUAAAAAAGUAUCCUCUUCCAAAAGAGAAAUGCCAGAUUAGACGUAAAAAGAAGAUAUAAGUAGUCUUCUUUAUUAUAUGACUAUUAUAGCCACAAAACUUAAAAAGCCAUUCUACUUUUCAUCAAAUUAUGUUAACUCUUAUUUCAAAUGUGGGGAAAAUGUGUCUCAAAAAAACAGGGAAAAAAAAAAAAAAACAAUUCCAGGACAUAUCAGAACUUGAAGGUAAGCAGGUUGAAGAAGGGAAAUUAAGUUCUCCAGAUCUUGGCAUGCUGACUGAUAAGUCAGGCUCAGAAUCUUCUUUAGAUACUGUGGAAAAUCCUUCAAAUCCUAUUGCAAUACUUGAAGUUCUUCUAGUUUCAACUAAAGUAUUACUAACUUUCUUUUUCAUCCCAGUGAAACUGUAUAAUCUUUUGUAGGUGGAAUAUUGGUGGACUUGUCCCCAAGUUAAAUUAUGAUUUAAAGAGACACUUAGAAAAAGAGGAAAAGCCUACUAAAACUGAGCAGGCUAUCAGCAAAGACAAAAAUGCAGAGAAGAACAACCGUUUAUCUCUUCAGGGAGAAAUUAUUAUUGCAAUUAUAUUGAUAACAGAACCUGGGUGUUAGUUCAGGUAUUAAGAAAAACAACUGACCUGAAGUUCUGUAUUACUGGGGUUGAAGAACUGAAUUUUCAUCAUCUAGAAUAUAUUGAAGGAAAUGAGUGUCUGUUAAAGAAAGAAUUAUUCCAUAUUUAUUCUGGCUGAGAUAAAUUAAAGGUGAAACACUUUAGGCUGCACUUAGAUAAUUUUCGGCUUUAAUUGCCUACGUGCAUCCAGUGAAAGGGAGAGGAAUCCCAAUUUUCAUAAUUGAAGAUGGAGGAACAAGUUAUGUGGUUGCUCUGCAGAUACUAUGCAAAUUAGUUGAACUAACUCAGAAACCAGUUGAUCAGCCCUUUGAUUACAUUUGUGGUGUGAGCACAGGUGCCAUAUUAGCUUUCAUGUCGGGAUUUUUUCAUAUGUCCUUGGAUGAAUGCGAGAAACUAUAAAACAUUAGGUUCAGACGUAUUUUCACAAAAUUUCAUUGUUGGAAAAGUUAAAAUGAGUUGGAGCCAUGCAUUUUAUAGAAGUCAAAGGUGGGAAAAAAUUCUGAAAAAUAGAAUGGGAUUUACGCUAUUGAUGGCAACAGCAAGAAACCCCACAUGCCUUAAGGUAACUGCCAUAAGUACCAUAGUAAACAGAGGGAUAACACCAAAAUAAUUUGAUUAGAAACUAUGACCAUUUUGCUGGAAUCAACUGUCAUUUCAGAGGUUCUCAGUAUAAAAUGUGGCAGGCCAUUAGAGCCUCAUCUGCUGCUCCAGGCUACUUUGCAGAAUACACAUUGGGAAAUGAUCUUCAUCAAGGCGGAGGUUUGCUUCUGAAUAACUAUUUGGCAUUAGCAAUGCAUGAGUAUAAAUGUCAUUGGCCGGAUAUCCCAUUAGAGUGCACAGUAUGCCUGGGCACUGGACAUUCGGAGAGUGACAUGAAAAACACUGUGAUACACACAAGCUUGAAAACCAAACUUUCUAAUGUUAUCAACAGUGCUACAGAUAUAGAAGCAGUCUGUAUAAUGCUUGAUGUUCUGUUACCUCCUGACACCUAUUUUAUAUUCAAUCCUGAAAUGUGUGAAAACAACCCUAGAUGAAAGUCAAAAUGAAAAGCUGGAUCAGCUGAAGUUAGAAGGGUUGAAAUACAUAGA
This 2135-nucleotide long non-coding RNA is filed under the name Homo sapiens (human). RNAcentral describes it as "non-protein coding lnc-PRR32-5:1". The record is from RNAcentral. Lineage: Eukaryota; Metazoa; Chordata; Mammalia; Primates; Hominidae.